GUGACUCUGGAAAGCAGACGGCAUGUGCUGUCUCACCGAAGGAGAAAGCUAGCUUUAUUUAGCGAGUGAAUCUCUCAGGUAACCCGACAGAGGGGG
RNAcentral lists this non-coding RNA (96 nucleotides) under marine eukaryotic metagenome. Its description in RNAcentral is "Glycine riboswitch". It matches the Rfam family "Glycine riboswitch aptamer", at positions 9 to 86 of the family's 94-position model. From Rfam's summary of the family: This family represents the bacterial glycine riboswitch. The record is from RNAcentral.